AGCCGCCGCGGUAAUACCUGCAGCCCAAGUGGUGGUCGAUUUUAUUGAGUCUAAAACGUUCGUAGCCGGUUCGGUAAAUCUUUGGGUAAAUCGGGGGGCUUAACCUCCCGACUUCCGAGGAGACUGCCGAACUUGGGACCGGGAGAGGCUAGAGGUACUUCUGGGGUAGGGGUAAAAAUCCUGUAAUCCUAGAAGGACCACCGGUGGCGAAGGCGUCUAGCUAGAACGGAUCCGACAGUGAGGGACGAAGCCCUGGGUCGCAAACGGGAUUAGAUACCCCGGUAGUCCAGGGUGUAAACGCUGCAGACUUGGUGUUGGAGGCCCUUUGGGGGCAUCCAGUGCCGGAGAGAAGUUGUUAAGUCUGCUACUUGGGGAGUACGUCCGCAAGGAUGAAACUUAAAGGAAUUGGCGGGGGAGCACCGCCAACGGGAGGAGCGUGCGGUUUAAUUGGAUUCAACACCGUAAAACUCACCAGGGAAGACUGUUACAUGAAGGCCGGGCUAAAGACUCUGCCAGAUUUUCAGAGUAGAGGUGCAUGG
This 539-nucleotide ribosomal RNA is filed under the name uncultured archaeon. RNAcentral's name for it is "bacterial SSU rRNA". It matches the Rfam family "Archaeal small subunit ribosomal RNA", at positions 460 to 997 of the family's 1478-position model. The record is from RNAcentral.